UGCCUGGUAGUGGGGGAUAACGUUCGGAAACGGACGCUAAUACCGCAUACGUCCUACGGGAGAAAGCAGGGGACCUUCGGGCCUUGCGCUAUCAGAUGAGCCUAGGUCGGAUUAGCUAGUUGGUGGGGUAAUGGCUCACCAAGGCGACGAUCCGUAACUGGUCUGAGAGGAUGAUCAGUCACACUGGAACUGAGACACGGUCCAGACUCCUACGGGAGGCAGCAGUGGGG
Molecule: ribosomal RNA, 230 nt
Filed under: Chrysoculter rhomboideus
Lineage: Eukaryota; Haptophyta
Description: partial Bacterial small subunit ribosomal RNA
Rfam family: Bacterial small subunit ribosomal RNA
Source: RNAcentral